This 1607-nucleotide small RNA is filed under the name Drosophila mojavensis. RNAcentral's name for it is "GI25734". The record is from RNAcentral. Lineage: Eukaryota; Metazoa; Arthropoda; Insecta; Diptera; Drosophilidae.
UAUCAAUAUUUUAUUUGAAUUUCUUCUGCGAAUAUUACGUGUCAAUCAUGUGAUUCUGUUCUGCUUUACUAUACAAACAAAAAUUUUAAUUAAGCAUGGAAAUAAAAUGUCAGUGAAAAUAAAAUGAAAAAAGAAUAAAGAUUGCAUCAUCCGAAGAGGUGUCAGCCAAAUGUAAAGGAUAGGAAGGGAAAGAAAGAAGAUUCAUGCCAUUGCUGUGUGCCAGCUUCAGCAUGGAAAUUUAAUUAGCGACACCCGAGUGAACCAGCUACAACAACAUCAAUGAUAGCAAACACACACACACUCUACAUAGAGAUACGCCUACACAUAAUGGAGGACAAAAAGGGCCAGCGAAGUAAAAGUAAACAAAUAAUACCAAAAAAAAAAAAAGGGAAAAAAUUAAGAAAAAUAAAUCAUGCGAGCAGAAGAAGAAGAGCUACAAAAUGUGUUCAGCUUUCGCAUGACGCCAGCAAACAGCAGCGACUGCGACAGCGACCGAGGCAGAGCCAGCAAAUGGUAAACAGCAAUAGCAGCAGCAAUAAAGGAAGGAACAAUGAAAAUGCAGCAGCAGAGAGUCGUCGCCUAGCCAGCCCUCCCUUGCCCACUGUUGCUGCUGCAACUGACGUUGGCGCGCUGUGUGUGCGAGCGAGCGGACAAACAAAAAUGGCGCAUGACAUGCGCACUGAGCAAGCGGCUAACUUGAACUUGAAAAUGUUUUUAUUGUUGCGCUUGUCGUCAUCGAAGGUUGUGUGUGUGUUCCAUUUAAUAUGACGCGACUGCGACACCAGCAGAGCACAGAGAGCAGCGCAAAGCCGGCAACUAACAAAAAAAGAGUGGAAAGCAACGAAGAGAGACUGGGACAGAGACACAACGAGCGGGAGACGCAGAGAGUAAGAGAGCGCAGCGAGGGCGUAAGCAAGAGUGAGCACGCUGCUAGGCUAAGCUUGCUAGCAGCAGGUAUGUAUAUAUGUAUGGAUAUGUGUGUGUGUGUAUAUAUGUAUGCAUAUAUGUCUGCACCAUGUGAGAGGUAAAUAAGUCAAUGUGAAAAGAAAAACAAAAACAAACGACGAAGUGAGAGAAUGCGAAAGCUUUUUAUUAUAGCUUUUGCGUGGGUGACUUAAAGCAGCGCAGUUGCGUCGCUGCCGACGUCUGACAACUGUUUGCUUUUGUUGUAUGCCCCAUAGCCAGCUGCCCGAAACUUUCUCUUUCGCUGCGUCAAUGUGUGUGCAUGUGUAUAUGCGUGUGUGGGCGUGUGAGUGAAUAAUGCUGUUGCAUAUUUACUGGGAUACAAUGACGCGCACCUGUGCGAACACAGCUGCAGCCAACAGGAUGCUGUUGCGGCUGCGAUGCCUAGUUGCCAGCCCGUCACACAGUUAUUCAGUUCUUCAGUGGUUCAGUGUCGAACGCACUCCCGUCGAGGUCAGGCAGCUACGAAACGAAGCACAGUUGCCAUACAUGCAUACAUACAUACAUACAUGCAUACAUAUAAAUAAAUAACUAUCUAUAUAGAUAAGUUAGUAUGUCUGUGUGGAAUUGCUAUAUGAGUGGGUUAAUUGUGUGACGCGUUGCUCGAAGUAAAAGAAGCAGACAAAAAAAAAAAAAAACAAUUU